AAGGAUGAGUGGACGUGGGAGCGGAGACAUUCUCUUUCGUCGCUGCGAGUGCGUGCGAGCAAGGAGCGGAUAGCGGAGGGUAAUCCAUCUCAUCUACGUCAAAAGCGCCAAGGGAUAACCCCUAUAGCGCGCGGAUGUUCCUCUCCCUUAGUUCCAGCUCCGCUUGUCCCUUCUUCUCCGUCCAAUCGCAUCGAUGGCGGGUUGUAUCUUCCGGUCGGCGCGAUGGCGGCAAUGGAGUUACGGUCUGCUCGGCGCAUUCCAGCGCUCGCAUCCUCAAGCCCAACCGGCGACCGCGGCUGGGUCGGCGAGCCUCGACUUAUGCGAAUGAAGAUGAGGAGGUGGAAGAGGAGGAGAGCGAAGAGGAGGAAUACGAGAUAAUUGAUAAUGACGUUGCAGAGUUUGAUGAGUUUGGCAGCAACCAAUAUUCCACUAAAAAGAGAUCAAAUUUAAAUUCUAAUGCCAUAAAUGAUGCUAAAGGAAUCAAGAUAUCACCUCAAAAAGGUUGCGAAGCUGGAUUAGUACAAGUGAGACAAACCAAGAAUCUGGCUCCUGGCUCCAUUAAAUCUAAGUCUGGUAAAACCAUUCAGCAGAAAACAAAUUUUCAAGGCUAUAAUUCUUCCAUGGAAAGGUACUCAAAAAAGAGUCCUGUUGAUUGUGAUAGUGAGGACCAGCAAAAUUGUGGAAGUUUCACCAAGAGCAAGUUCCAGAAAUUAAUAGAAGAACUAGACUUUGAUGAGAGAUGGUUUCCUUUGAUUGAUUACUUGAGCACAUUUGGACUAAAGGAAUCUCACUUCAUUUCCAUUUAUGAGAGACAUGUGGCAUCCCUUCAGAUGAACCUAACUUCUGCAAAGGAAAGAUUAACCUUUUUGAUUGCGGUCGGCGUCAAACGCAGAGAUAUUAAAAGGAUACUUGUAAGGCAGCCCCAAAUUUUGGAAUACACAGUUGAAAACAAUAUGAUGUCCCAUGUUCGUUUCUUACUAAGUAUAGGAGUUCCAAGUUCUCGAAUCGGACAGAUUAUUACUGCCACUCCAUCUCUGUUUUCUUACAGCAUUGAACAUUCUCUCAAACCUAAAAUCAGAUACUUGGUUGAAGAAGUUGGAAUUAAGGGAUCAGAAGUUAGUAAAGUUGUACAACUCAGCCCUCAUGUUCUAGUCCAGAGAGUUGAUAAUUCAUGGACUACCCGUUCAAAUUUUCUGUCAAAAGAAUUAGGAGCUCCAAGGGAUAACAUAGUAAAGAUGGUCACAAAGCAUCCCCAGCUCCUACAUUAUAGCAUAGAAGAUGGAAUAUUGCCUAGAAUCAACUUUCUAAGGAGCAUAGGGAUGUGCAAUUCUGAUAUUGUGAAAGUAUUAACAAGUCUCGCACAAGUUCUGUCCUUAUCACUGGAGGAAAACUUGAAACCCAAGUAUCUUUAUCUUGUAAAUGAGCUUCACAAUGAGGUGCAGUCCUUGAUCAAAUAUCCAACGUACUUGAGCUUGUCUUUGAAUCAGAGGAUUCGACCUCGGCAUCGCUUUCUGGUUUCACUUAAAAAAGCUCCAAAGGGGCCAUUUCCUCUGAGCACAUUUGUUCCUACUGAUGAAUGUUUUUGUCAACAAUGGGCUGGCACAAGCUUAGACAUAUAUUUGGCUUUCAGGCAGAGUUUACUGCUCUCAGACUUGGCAAACAAGUAUGACAGAAGAAGAUGAUCCACAGCCUCUUUAAGAUAUAUUAUUUGAUCUGGUUAAGCACAUAUACAAUAAGAAGCUGAGAUCAAUUGUUGCCAUUUUUGACGUUCAAUGCCAGUUUGAGGAUCAAAUUUUGACAGAAGCAGAUAUCUGCAAUUUUGAAUGGAAAGGGGGAAGCUCAGCUCUGCUAUGCGAAUUUUACCCAAAUAUGGUUCGAUCAAUUUCUACCUUGCUAUCUAUCUCUUGAAAUGAAAUUCAGAAGGAAUAUUUUUAUUUCUCUGCUAGUUAAUUGUGCUAUUUAGAUGAAAUGUCCUCUGAAAGAAGUGAGGUAAAUUUUUUAGAGGUGAUAAUUUUUGUUUAUGUAGAGCUUUAAAGGCCAUUUUUGAAAAAAGGUUGUGAAAAUUAGAUCA
This is an RNA transcript of Dendrobium catenatum, 2071 nucleotides long. It is a transcript of the gene named transcription termination factor MTERF9, chloroplastic, with no coding region annotated. The record is from RefSeq and is a predicted model, not a curated record. The transcript is spliced from 6 exons. Lineage: Eukaryota; Viridiplantae; Streptophyta; Magnoliopsida; Asparagales; Orchidaceae.